UUGGUGAGUGGCGGACGGGUGAGUAACACGUGGGUAACCUGCCCAGAAGUGGGGGAUAACAUUUGGAAACAAGUGCUAAUACCGCAUAACAACAUUUAUCUCAUGAUUUAUGUUUAAAAGAUGGUUCUGCUAUCUCUUCUGGAUGGACCCGCGGCGUAUUAGCUAGUUGGUGAGGUAAUAGCUCACCAAGGCGAUGAUACGUAGCCGACCUGAGAGGGUAAUCGGCCACAUUGGGACUGAGACACGGCCCAAACUCCUACGGGAGGCAGCAGUAGGGAAUCUUCCACAAUGGACGAAAGUCUGAUGGAGCAACGCCGCGUGAGUGAAGAAGGUUUUCGGAUCGUAAAACUCUGUUGUUGAAGAAGAACAUAUGUGAGAGUAACUGUUCACGUACUGACGGUAUUCAACCAGAAAGCCACGGCUAACUACGUGCCAGCAGCCGCGGUAAUACGUAGGUGGCAAGCGUUGUCCGGAUUUAUUGGGCGUAAAGAGAAUGUAGGCGGU
Molecule: ribosomal RNA, 504 nt
Filed under: Companilactobacillus paralimentarius
Lineage: Bacteria; Bacillati; Bacillota; Bacilli; Lactobacillales; Lactobacillaceae
Description: bacterial SSU rRNA
Rfam family: Bacterial small subunit ribosomal RNA
Source: RNAcentral